UAGCAUUUCUGAAGAGCAUUUCAAGAUUGGAAGUAUCCCUGUGACACAGUUGUUGAGACUGAUCUGACUAGCACAGCAUGUCAGAUCUAAGGCACUGAAAUAUUUCAGGGCUAUCUGUACAUGGGGUAGGUCUUUCCAACUAAUGCUCCAUUUAGAUUAGGGAUAUAGAAGAAAUUUGAAAAUAAUUUAAUAAAAAAUCCAAUGUGUUUAACUCUUAAAAAAAUCACAUAAGAAUUUGAAUUCUCUGUUUUUCUAUUGCUUACUUUGUGGUUGUUUUCACAGAUCAAAGUCCAGCUGUCCAGUGUCAUCACAUUCAGAUUCUGCCAUGACCUAAAUAAAAAGACUGCAGGUGGCUGCUCUCUCUCCAUCACCUCUUGACUUUUGGACUGUGCUGCUGCA
RNAcentral lists this long non-coding RNA (399 nucleotides) under Zonotrichia albicollis (white-throated sparrow). RNAcentral describes it as "lncRNA (ENSZALG00000000479.1)". The record is from RNAcentral. Lineage: Eukaryota; Metazoa; Chordata; Aves; Passeriformes; Passerellidae.